Molecule: small RNA, 151 nt
Filed under: Streptomyces sp. WM6386
Lineage: Bacteria; Bacillati; Actinomycetota; Actinomycetes; Kitasatosporales; Streptomycetaceae
Description: gntR-DTE RNA
Rfam family: gntR-DTE RNA
Source: Rfam by way of RNAcentral
CGGGUGACGGCCGCCGGCGGCCACUUCCCCGCGCACCGGCUCUGGAGAACAGCCCUCGGGAUCAUCCCUUCCUCACGGGAGGUCAACCCGUUGGAUGCCACCUGGUGUGCGCCGCCCUGCUGGCGUCAGAGCAGUGACGAUGACGCACCCG